AUUCUAUGAACACUAAAUCUCAAUAGUGAUAGUAAUCAUCAAAACUUACAUUAAAGAAUUUAAACUCAAACUCAGCCAUCACCCACCUUUAAAAGGUAAGCAACUUUUUUCGAAAUGUUGCGCCUACAAGUACGUGCGGCUUGCCCACAAACAUGUGAAGGGCUCCUCAUUUUUAUUCCCCUAAUUAACUAUCCAGUUUGAUGGAUUUUGAGGAAAACCUAGCGUAGCUCUGUUGUACCCACAACCAGAGGGCGAAAACGCUUUUAUUACGUAUCACGUAUAUUUUGUUUGAUGCCCCAACAAAAUCAAUUUGAAAAUCUUGAUGGAGAAGAAGGUGGUGAUGGAGAAAGCCAAUCCUCAACUAGUUCUUACGAUAGUUGAAUAAAAAAAUUUCUAAGGCCAUGUCUAAAUCUAUAUUAUAGUUUUCCAUAUUUCUUAUUCAUUUUGAAAGUCCUUACUAUUUUUUCAACCUUGAGAAGUAACUAUAUAUUACCAUGA
Long non-coding RNA from Gordionus sp. m RMFG-2023, 498 nucleotides. RefSeq lists it as uncharacterized. The transcript is spliced from 3 exons. The record is from RefSeq and is a predicted model, not a curated record. Lineage: Eukaryota; Metazoa; Nematomorpha; Gordioida; Chordodea; Parachordodidae.